GAUGAAGAACGCAGCGAAAUGCGAUAAGUAGUGUGAAUUGCAGAAUUCAGUGAAUCAUCGAAUCUUUGAACGCACAUUGCGCCCUUUGGUAUUCCUUAGGGCAUGCCUGUUCGAGCGUCAUUUAAACCUUCAAGCUCAGCUUGGUGUUGGGUGACUGUCCGCCGCCCCCGGGCGCGUGGACUCGCCUCAAAAUUAUUGGCGGCCGGUACAUUGGCUUCGAGCGCAGCAGAAACGCGAACUCGAGCCCGUCGUAUUGGCUCCCAGAAGCUAUCUUCACAAUUUUGGCCUCGGAUCAGGUAGGGAUACCCGCUGAACUUAAGCAUAUCAAUAAGCGGAGGA
RNAcentral lists this unclassified non-coding RNA (339 nucleotides) under soil metagenome. Its description in RNAcentral is "partial contains 5.8S ribosomal RNA, internal transcribed spacer 2, and large subunit ribosomal RNA". The stretch from base 1 to 120 matches the Rfam family "5.8S ribosomal RNA", at positions 35 to 154 of the family's 154-position model. The record is from RNAcentral.